Molecule: ribosomal RNA, 2987 nt
Filed under: Salmonella enterica subsp. enterica serovar Senftenberg
Lineage: Bacteria; Pseudomonadati; Pseudomonadota; Gammaproteobacteria; Enterobacterales; Enterobacteriaceae
Also listed under: 1 other name
Description: 23S ribosomal RNA
Rfam family: Bacterial large subunit ribosomal RNA
Source: RNAcentral
GGUUAAGCGACUAAGCGUACACGGUGGAUGCCCUGGCAGUCAGAGGCGAUGAAGGACGUGCUAAUCUGCGAUAAGCGCCGGUAAGGUGAUAUGAACCGUUAUAACCGGCGAUUUCCGAAUGGGGAAACCCAGUGUGACUCGUCACACUAUCAUUAACUGAAUCCAUAGGUUAAUGAGGCGAACCGGGGGAACUGAAACAUCUAAGUACCCCGAGGAAAAGAAAUCAACCGAGAUUCCCCCAGUAGCGGCGAGCGAACGGGGAGGAGCCCAGAGCCUGAAUCAGCAUGUGUGUUAGUGGAAGCGUCUGGAAAGGCGCGCGAUACAGGGUGACAGCCCCGUACACAAAAGCGCAUGUGCUGUGAGCUCGAUGAGUAGGGCGGGACACGUGGUAUCCUGUCUGAAUAUGGGGGGACCAUCCUCCAAGGCUAAAUACUCCUGACUGACCGAUAGUGAACCAGUACCGUGAGGGAAAGGCGAAAAGAACCCCGGCGAGGGGAGUGAAAAAGAACCUGAAACCGUGUACGUACAAGCAGUGGGAGCACAGGUUUACCUGUGUGACUGCGUACCUUUUGUAUAAUGGGUCAGCGACUUAUAUUCUGUAGCAAGGUUAACCGAAUAGGGGAGCCGGAGGGAAACCGAGUCUUAAUUGGGCGUUAAGUUGCAGGGUAUAGACCCGAAACCCGGUGAUCUAGCCAUGGGCAGGUUGAAGGUUGGGUAACACUAACUGGAGGACCGAACCGACUAAUGUUGAAAAAUUAGCGGAUGACCUGUGGCUGGGGGUGAAAGGCCAAUCAAACCGGGAGAUAGCUGGUUCUCCCCGAAAGCUAUUUAGGUAGCGCCUCGUGAACUCAUCUCCGGGGGUAGAGCACUGUUUCGGCUAGGGGGCCAUCCCGGCUUACCAACCCGAUGCAAACUGCGAAUACCGGAGAAUGUUAUCACGGGAGACACACGGCGGGUGCUAACGUCCGUCGUGAAGAGGGAAACAACCCAGACCGCCAGCUAAGGUCCCAAAGUCAUGGUUAAGUGGGAAACGAUGUGGGAAGGCCCAGACAGCCAGGAUGUUGGCUUAGAAGCAGCCAUCAUUUAAAGAAAGCGUAAUAGCUCACUGGUCGAGUCGGCCUGCGCGGAAGAUGUAACGGGGCUAAACCAUGCACCGAAGCUGCGGCAGCGAACGUAUCACUUAAAGCGAUUCAGCGGGUUACGAUUGACGGAGCGAAGCGACGUCAAAGCGUAUACAAAGUCGAGUCGGUUUAAGGAUACGUUCGUUGGGUAGGGGAGCGUUCUGUAAGCCUGCGAAGGUGGCCUGUGAGGGUUGCUGGAGGUAUCAGAAGUGCGAAUGCUGACAUAAGUAACGAUAAAGCGGGUGAAAAGCCCGCUCGCCGGAAGACCAAGGGUUCCUGUCCAACGUUAAUCGGGGCAGGGUGAGUCGACCCCUAAGGCGAGGCCGAAAGGCGUAGUCGAUGGGAAACGGGUUAAUAUUCCCGUACUUGGUGUUACUGCGAAGGGGGGACGGAGAAGGCUAUGUUGGCCGGGCGACGGUUGUCCCGGUUUAAGCGUGUAGGCUGGUUUUCCAGGCAAAUCCGGAAAAUCAAGGCUGAGGCGUGAUGACGAGGCACUACGGUGCUGAAGCAACAAAUGCCCUGCUUCCAGGAAAAGCCUCUAAGCAUCAGGUAACAUCAAAUCGUACCCCAAACCGACACAGGUGGUCAGGUAGAGAAUACCAAGGCGCUUGAGAGAACUCGGGUGAAGGAACUAGGCAAAAUGGUGCCGUAACUUCGGGAGAAGGCACGCUGACAUGUAGGUGAAGUGAUUUACUCAUGGAGCUGAAGUCAGUCGAAGAUACCAGCUGGCUGCAACUGUUUAUUAAAAACACAGCACUGUGCAAACACGAAAGUGGACGUAUACGGUGUGACGCCUGCCCGGUGCCGGAAGGUUAAUUGAUGGGGUCAGCGCAAGCGAAGCUCCUGAUCGAAGCCCCGGUAAACGGCGGCCGUAACUAUAACGGUCCUAAGGUAGCGAAAUUCCUUGUCGGGUAAGUUCCGACCUGCACGAAUGGCGUAAUGAUGGCCAGGCUGUCUCCACCCGAGACUCAGUGAAAUUGAACUCGCUGUGAAGAUGCAGUGUACCCGCGGCAAGACGGAAAGACCCCGUGAACCUUUACUAUAGCUUGACACUGAACAUUGAGCCUUGAUGUGUAGGAUAGGUGGGAGGCUUUGAAGUGUGGACGCCAGUCUGCAUGGAGCCGACCUUGAAAUACCACCCUUUAAUGUUUGAUGUUCUAACGUGGACCCGUAAUCCGGGUUGCGGACAGUGUCUGGUGGGUAGUUUGACUGGGGCGGUCUCCUCCUAAAGAGUAACGGAGGAGCACGAAGGUUGGCUAAUCCUGGUCGGACAUCAGGAGGUUAGUGCAAUGGCAUAAGCCAGCUUGACUGCGAGCGUGACGGCGCGAGCAGGUGCGAAAGCAGGUCAUAGUGAUCCGGUGGUUCUGAAUGGAAGGGCCAUCGCUCAACGGAUAAAAGGUACUCCGGGGAUAACAGGCUGAUACCGCCCAAGAGUUCAUAUCGACGGCGGUGUUUGGCACCUCGAUGUCGGCUCAUCACAUCCUGGGGCUGAAGUAGGUCCCAAGGGUAUGGCUGUUCGCCAUUUAAAGUGGUACGCGAGCUGGGUUUAGAACGUCGUGAGACAGUUCGGUCCCUAUCUGCCGUGGGCGCUGGAGAACUGAGGGGGGCUGCUCCUAGUACGAGAGGACCGGAGUGGACGCAUCACUGGUGUUCGGGUUGUCAUGCCAAUGGCACUGCCCGGUAGCUAAAUGCGGAAGAGAUAAGUGCUGAAAGCAUCUAAGCACGAAACUUGCCCCGAGAUGAGUUCUCCCUGAGACUUUAGGUCUCCUGAAGGAACGUUGAAGACGACGACGUUGAUAGGCCGGGUGUGUAAGCGCAGCGAUGCGUUGAGCUAACCGGUACUAAUGAACCGUGAGGCUUAACCUU